UGUUUUUGUGUGUGUUCACCCUUUUUUGUUGAGUCUCUGUUUGUUCAUCUUUUUCUUUGUUUUCGCGUGUGUUCACCCUUAUUCUCGACUUGUGUUUACCGUUUCGAGUCUUUGUUUCCGGAAUCAGCUGGUGUUGGUGUGAGUACCCGUUUGUUCAGCGUGUGUGUGUGUUGUAUGUUCAUACCUUGGGGGAUUUCUUCUGUUGUUAC
This 209-nucleotide long non-coding RNA is filed under the name Lathyrus oleraceus (garden pea). Its description in RNAcentral is "Pisum sativum (pea) long non-coding RNA (PSAT_LNC017552)". The record is from RNAcentral. Lineage: Eukaryota; Viridiplantae; Streptophyta; Magnoliopsida; Fabales; Fabaceae.